GCUGGCGACCAUAGCAAGAGUGAACCACCUGAUCCCUUCCCGAACUCAGAAGUGAAACCUCUUAGCGCUGAUGGUAGUGUGGGAUUACCCAUGUGAGAGUAAGUCAUCGCCAGCUC
Molecule: ribosomal RNA, 116 nt
Filed under: Acinetobacter schindleri
Lineage: Bacteria; Pseudomonadati; Pseudomonadota; Gammaproteobacteria; Moraxellales; Moraxellaceae
Source: RNAcentral